This 1401-nucleotide ribosomal RNA is filed under the name human gut metagenome. RNAcentral's name for it is "bacterial LSU rRNA". It matches the Rfam family "Bacterial large subunit ribosomal RNA", at positions 1002 to 2420 of the family's 2925-position model. The record is from RNAcentral.
GAUUCAUAGUCAAAAGGGCAACAGCCCAGAUCGUCAGCUAAGGUCCCUAAAUGUACGUUAAGUGGUAAAGGAUGUGGGAUUGCACAGACAACCAGGAUGUUGGCUUAGAAGCAGCCACUCAUUUAAAGAGUGCGUAAUAGCUCACUGGUCGAGUGAUCCUGCGCCGAAAAUUUCCGGGGCUAAAACGUACUACCGAAGCUACGGCAUCAUUUAUGAUGGGUAGGGGAGCUUCGUAUGCAGGCUGAAGCAUGACCGUAAGGACAUGUGGACAGUAUACGAGUGAGAAUGUUGGCAUGAGUAGCGAGACGUGGGUGAGAAUCCCACGGGCCGUAAACCCAAGGUUUCCAGGGGAAGGUUCGUCCGCCCUGGGUUAGUCGGGACCUAAGCCGAGGCCGAAAGGCGUAGGUGAUGGACAACAGGUUGAUAUUCCUGUACCGCCAAUAAGCGUUUGAGAGAUGGAGUGACACAGUAGGAUAAGCUAACCGUACUGUUGGUUAUGUACGGCUAAGCAUUGAGGCAGUCUAAAUAGGCAAAUCCGUUUAGACAAUGCUAGGAUGUGAUGGGGAAGCCCUUCGGGGCGAAGUAGCUGAUUUCACACUGUCAAGAAAAGCUUCUAUCGAGUUUAAAGGCGCCCGUACCGUAAACCGACACAGGUGGGUGAGGAGAGUAUCCUAAGGCCAGCGAGAGAACUAUUGUUAAGGAACUCGGCAAAAUGACCCCGUAACUUAGGGAGAAGGGGUGCCUGUCUAUGACAGGCCGCAGAGAAUAGGCCCAAGCGACUGUUUACCAAAAACACAGGUUUCUGCUAAGUCGCAAGACGAUGUAUAGGAGCUGACGCCUGCCCGGUGCUGGAAGGUUAAGGGGAUCUGUUAGAGCAAUCGAAGCAGUGAACUUAAGCCCCAGUAAACGGCGGCCGUAACUAUAACGGUCCUAAGGUAGCGAAAUUCCUUGUCGGGUAAGUUCCGACCCGCACGAAAGGCGUAACGAUUUGGGCACUGUCUCAACAAUAGACUCGGUGAAAUUGUAAUCCCGGUGAAGAUGCCGGGUACCUGCGACAGGACGGAAAGACCCCAUGGAGCUUUACUGUAGCUUGACGUUGGGUCUUGGUACUACAUGUACAGGAUAGGUGGGAGACUAUGAAGCAUGGACGCCAGUCUGUGUGGAGUCAUCCUUGGGAUACCACCCUUGUAGUACUGGGAUCCUAACCAUAGGCCUUGAAUCAGGUCUUGGAACACCGUCAGGUGGGCAGUUUGACUGGGGCGGUCGCCUCCUAAAAAGUAACGGAGGCGCUCAAAGGUUUCCUCAGCACGGUCGGAAAUCGUGCGAAGAGUGUAAAGGCAAAAGGAAGCUUGAUUGCAAGACAUACAGGUCGAGCAAGGACGAAAGUCGGACUUAGUGAUC